Molecule: ribosomal RNA, 497 nt
Filed under: uncultured bacterium
Lineage: Bacteria
Description: partial 16S ribosomal RNA
Rfam family: Bacterial small subunit ribosomal RNA
Source: RNAcentral
GAUGAACGCUGGCGGCGUGCCUAAUACAUGCAAGUAGAACGCUGAAGCUUGGUGCUUGCACCGAGCGGAUGAGUUGCGAACGGGUGAGUAACGCGUAGGUAACCUGCCUGGUAGCGGGGGAUAACUAUUGGAAACGAUAGCUAAUACCGCAUAACAGUAGAUAUUGCAUGAUAUCUGCUUGAAAGGUGCAAAUGCAUCACUACCAGAUGGACCUGCGUUGUAUUAGCUAGUUGGUGAGGUAACGGCUCACCAAGGCGACGAUACAUAGCCGACCUGAGAGGGUGAUCGGCCACACUGGGACUGAGACACGGCCCAGACUCCUACGGGAGGCAGCAGUAGGGAAUCUUCGGCAAUGGGGGGAACCCUGACCGAGCAACGCCGCGUGGGUGAAGAAGGUUUUCGGAUCGUAAAGCUCUGUUGUAAGAGAAGAACGAGUGUGAGAGUGGAAAGUUCACAGUGUGACGGUAUCUUACCAGAAAGGGACGGCUAACUACGUG